GUGCGAACCCUAGCCCCAAUCCACAGCCCCCACGCCCCUCACUCCUCCCUCCCUCGUCCGCCUCCACGCUCCCUCCCUCCUCCCUCCUCUUCCUCCUCCCUCGUCUCCACGGCCUCUGCCCUAGGAGCCCCACCGCCGACAGCUACUCCACCACCACGCCCCUUCCUCCUCCUCGCCUUCCCAUCGCUCGUGCACAGGUCGCUGUUGUGGCAGAUCAGGGACAGUGCUGGGUCGUCAAGAUGGGGUGGUUACGAAGGCUUCCCAGCCCAACGACGUUGUCAUGGGAGGAGGCUCACCAUCGAAGAGUAGCCGCAGGUGCACAGCAUCCAAAGAGGUGCAGCCGGGAGGAGGUGAGGAUAAGUCGCUUGAUUUACAAGAGCAGAGCAGCGGAUUGGAUCGAGGGGGCCUGCAUGUCCACGCCGCCUAGAGUCACCCUGACUGUCGUCUCAAGCUGCAACCGCGAGUCAACUACACCACUGCCGCCAGGAAUCCCAUCCCCAGCAAGGGAAGUUCAGUGACAUAAAGACACAUGAGAUAUUCAGUUAUGUUGAUUGGGGAAAUUAAUGAUCAUUCAGUCAACAAAUGGGGCAGUAUUCUGAUCUUAUUUCAUCUCAUGCAUUGAUUAUUUAUUGUCUUCUUUGCAUACAUAUUUUAUUAAUUAUUCAUAUAUACUUGUUGUAUCUUUGUACUGCUGUUUUUAAAAAUUGCCAUAUCCUAUGUGCUUGUUUCCAUAUCGACGUAUAUGUGUUGUUAUAUGGUGCUUCAUAGCAAAAACUUAUACUUACUAAAGAAAGUGUUCCUUUUGUUGGUCCCAUUGCUCCAUAAGCAUGAUCACGUUUCUACUAAUUGAUUAUACAUAUGAUCUUUCUUUUGAUUAUUUUGCGAUACUUCUGAUUGACACUAUGAGGUGCUUCCUUGUCAUGCAGAUUCAUCCUUUACUUAAAUACUGAUGAUGAUAUGGUUGUAAAUUAGUCUGGGAUGGCAAGGCAGCUUGAAGGUGGUCACGGCCAUCUCGCAGAGAUGGUGCAAGCUGUCAAGAAUCACGGUGCCGGGGCACUGCACUUCACCGACGGGUGCAAGAUGGUGGAAGUGUAUUUUAAGCUUGGUGUAUAAACAUACAUGUCACUCACUGUAUGUAACUUUCAGUGCAAGAUUAAUAUAGGGGAUAAAUCAUUAUGGAAGGUAUAUGAUUGAAUAGCAAAUUGGAUGGAUUUACUGUCAUAUCAUUUAUUUGUGACUGCAUGAUCUGAAUUGCGCAUCUCUGAAAAUAUGUUAGGCUCUUGCCCUUGGAAGAUUAGACUGAUGUGGUGUUGAUUUGUAAAUAAAUGGCAUGCUUACCAUUUUGAUUUAGGUGUGUAGGCAGAAGCGAAAAAAGAAUCAUAAUCUCAGGUUUAGGCAUGCACAUGGCCACUGAUCACAAAUAAAUAGGAACAAAUGCAGUAUUGUGAUUUUGAGCAAGAGA
This is a long non-coding RNA of Triticum dicoccoides, 1462 nucleotides long. RefSeq lists it as uncharacterized. The transcript has 4 exons. The record is from RefSeq and is a predicted model, not a curated record. NCBI's taxonomy places the organism in Eukaryota, Viridiplantae, Streptophyta, Magnoliopsida, Poales, Poaceae.